RNAcentral lists this ribosomal RNA (301 nucleotides) under uncultured bacterium. Its description in RNAcentral is "partial 16S ribosomal RNA". It matches the Rfam family "Bacterial small subunit ribosomal RNA", at positions 509 to 807 of the family's 1533-position model. The record is from RNAcentral.
CAGUAGCCACGGGAAUACGGAGGGAGCUAGCGUUGUUCGGAAUUACUGGGCGUAAAGCGCACGUAGGCGGCGAUUCAAGUCAGAGGUGAAAGCCCGGGGCUCAACCCCGGAACUGCCUUUGAAACUAGAUUGCUAGAAUCCUGGAGAGGUGAGUGGAAUUCCGAGUGUAGAGGUGAAAUUCGUAGAUAUUCGGAAGAACACCAGUGGCGAAGGCGACUCACUGGACAGGUAUUGACGCUGAGGUGCGAAAGCGUGGGGAGCAAACAGGAUUAGAUACCCGAGUAGUCCCUGUCUCUUAUAC